This 441-nucleotide ribosomal RNA is filed under the name uncultured soil bacterium. RNAcentral's name for it is "bacterial SSU rRNA". It matches the Rfam family "Bacterial small subunit ribosomal RNA", at positions 26 to 518 of the family's 1533-position model. The record is from RNAcentral.
AGAACGAACGCUGGCGGCAUGCCUAAUACAUGCAAGUCGAACGAAGGCUUCGGCCUUAGUGGCGCACGGGUGCGUAACGCGUGGGAAUCUGCCCCUUGGUUCGGAAUAACAGUUGGAAACGACUGCUAAUACCGGAUGAUGACGAAAGUCCAAAGAUUUAUCGCCAAGGGAUGAGCCCGCGUAGGAUUAGCUAGUUGGUGAGGUAAAGGCUCACCAAGGCGACGAUCCUUAGCUGGUCUGAGAGGAUGAUCAGCCACACUGGGACUGAGACACGGCCCAGACUCCUACGGGAGGCAGCAGUAGGGAAUAUUGACAAUGGGCGAAAGCCUGAUCAGCAAUGCGCGUGAGUGAUGAAGCCUUAGGUUGUAAAGCUCUUUUACCCGAGAUGAUAAUGACAGUAUCGGAGAAUAAGCCCCGGACUAACUCCGUGCCAGCAGCCGC